This is a long non-coding RNA of Zingiber officinale, 818 nucleotides long. RefSeq lists it as uncharacterized. The transcript is spliced from 4 exons. Lineage: Eukaryota; Viridiplantae; Streptophyta; Magnoliopsida; Zingiberales; Zingiberaceae. The record is from RefSeq and is a predicted model, not a curated record.
GAAAACUCUUCUCCCUACCCGAGCCUUCUCCUCUUCUUCUCUCACGCCCGACGCCGGCCCUAACCGCCGGCCGGCGGUCUCUUCCUCCCCGAAACCCGAAGCCAUUGCCUCUUCCCUUCUUCUCUCCCCCGCGCGUGCCUGCCGAGCCUCACCCGACGACUCCACAGCCCGACGGCUGUGCCCUAAUCGCCGACGCACCCCUCGGUGCCCUAGCCACCCGGCGCCGCUGAUCGCCUUCUUCUCUUUUUCCCUCGCUGUGGAGAUUCCGGAGCCACCACAGCCGACGGCCGAGCCUCUCUGCCGAUUGGGUCGUGCCCUAGUACUGCCGGCCUCCCCUGUGAUCUUGCACCGCCGUUGUCACCCACAGCCGACUGGAACAGUGUGUCCACCCCGUCGAGCCUAGUUCUUCCUCUGUGUGCCACUGCCGAGAGCGAGCAGUAUCGAGUCAUGCCCUAGACUUGGUUCACCGCCGCUCUAGCGAGUUGGUCUUUAACCAAAGGCAAAACUCCAAGCUCUAGUGGCUUCACCGUGACCUAUGCCUCACCAUCGGAUCUUCCUGCUUCACCACUAGCUGUCGGCAGAGAGAAAACAAGAAGGUAUCGGAAUCAGUGUAGCUCCGGCCAAGAAUUUGCGACAGUAGGUAUUUUCAGCUAGCAAUUUCCAGCAGCAACCUCCCUGCUGUGAGGAUUGAGCAAUUUAUCUUUGCUGGCUGUAAACAAUCCUAAUUGGGUAACAACUUUGUGACUUCUAGCAGCGGUUGAAUUGAGGACUUUGACGCGAGACGAGUAUCUCGGAGUCAGAUUGGACCUUUCUAUUUU